GGGGGCGACUUGGUUUCGACGGGGAGAAUGAGUCCUGCGUUGCGUGCCGAGGUCCCUACUGGCUCGUAAAACAAGUAGGGAAAAGACAACUGCCGACUAUGAGCCGGCACUAGCUGCAGCCUAAUGCAGCUCGCCACCAGCGGCCUGCGCCUGCCGGGGUGCUGAUUGGCGCAAUUACGGUGGGCUAGCGGGUCUCUUGCUCGAAGGGAUUCGCGAAACAUCAGGGCUGGCCGGACGGGAAUCCCGCUCACCGGAGUCCCGGACGGCGAGAUCAAACGGUGAGAUACGCACGUAGAUACGCUUGAUGAAUCUCUUCCGGACGCGGGUUCGAUUCCCGCCGCCUCCACCA
This 349-nucleotide transfer-messenger RNA is filed under the name Candidatus Eiseniibacteriota bacterium. It matches the Rfam family "transfer-messenger RNA". From Rfam's summary of the family: Bacterial tmRNA, also known as 10Sa RNA or SsrA, is named for its dual tRNA and mRNA-like properties. Lineage: Bacteria; Candidatus Eiseniibacteriota. The record is from RNAcentral.